RNAcentral lists this transfer RNA (74 nucleotides) under Gemmatimonadota bacterium. RNAcentral's name for it is "Gemmatimonadetes bacterium tRNA-Arg". It matches the Rfam family "tRNA". Rfam says of the family: Transfer RNA (tRNA) molecules are approximately 80 nucleotides in length. Their secondary structure includes four short double-helical elements and three loops (D, anti-codon, and T loops). RNAcentral also lists the same sequence under 1 other name. The record is from RNAcentral. Lineage: Bacteria; Pseudomonadati; Gemmatimonadota.
GCCCCUGUAGCUCAGCUGGACAGAGCAGCGGUUUCCUAAACCGUUGGUCGGGGGUUCGAGUCCCUCCAGGGGUA